UUAGUGUCAACUGAAUUGUUGACCUUGGUUCAAGCUCCUUGUUCCCAGACACAUGACCACUGCAUUGCCGGGCUGCAGGGCCUGUGAACAACCACAUACUAGCAUUCUGUGCUCAGCAGAGGUACCACUGGCUUGGAUUGGAAAAAAACUAUCUUUCUUUUCUUUCUGCCUGAGAAGUGAGAAUGCUUUGAUGACGGCUCAUGAAUAGCAUCAGCCUCCUAUUAGGACUCAUUCAUAGGUUUGGAGAAGCCGAGAAGCCUUGUCAACACCACAGCAAAAGGAACACAGAUGGAUUCUUUACACCCUGAAAUGUUAUACCCGGGCACAGCAGUAAUAACUGACUGGAGCUAUCUAGGAGCAUUUGAAACCCAAGACUGGAGAAGACCUAUGCAAUUCAGCACUAAUACAAUCAGAAUUUUAUUACAGAAUUUCCAUCCCGGCAAUGCUAUCACCUCAAGCAAGUAAUGCAACAGCAACCUAUUUCUCGGAUGAAUGAGAACAAGUUGAUUCGUACGAAUAGCUCCCUGCUUUACAUCAGCAGAACACAAGUAGAUGAUGCUUUAAAUUAAGUUUAACUUUUAUAAUAUGAUGAUUGACUAUUUUGAUGGCUCUGAGAUCUAGAUUCAUUUAAUAAUGGAUUAUGACACAAUAUUUUCUGAAUGUCUUUGUUACCACUACCAUUUCACAUUAAAUGAACAAAUAAAAUAUCUGAGCUUAACAGUUCACAUUUCUUUAUUACGUUUUCGUCAGCUGAAUUUCUUUUAAUUCUUACCACCAGAGUACUUCCGACUAAAUUCAUGUUAACUUGGCUACUAAAAACAUCACUGGUAUUUCUUGUUUAAAAAGAUGUAGGUCUGUGUAUGCCACUACAAACAGAGCUCAUUGGCAAUAUUAACCCACAUAACUGUACACAGGUAUUGAUGAACAAUUUAUAUGGGAGGAAAUAAAAGUUGAAAAUAUGAACGAGUUGUGUGUCAAAUAAGGGAAAUACAACGAUCAGAAGAAAUAGCAAACUUCUGAAAUGGUGUUUAAGGCUGAUGCUGAGAGAGAGAACUGGGAAGGGUACAGGGAGAACCAGAGGUUCUCAAAUUCUGGGUCCCUGCUUCCCAAGGCUGUUUUCGAAAUUUGAGUGGGGGGCAUAUUGGGUUGUUAACCUUCAC
This is a long non-coding RNA of Nycticebus coucang (slow loris), 1160 nucleotides long. RefSeq lists it as uncharacterized. Lineage: Eukaryota; Metazoa; Chordata; Mammalia; Primates; Lorisidae. The transcript is spliced from 3 exons. The record is from RefSeq and is a predicted model, not a curated record.